RNAcentral lists this long non-coding RNA (2391 nucleotides) under Homo sapiens (human). RNAcentral's name for it is "HSALNT0331640". Lineage: Eukaryota; Metazoa; Chordata; Mammalia; Primates; Hominidae. The record is from RNAcentral.
CAGGGGGCGGUGUGCGCCCCCGGCGCUGGAGCAGCCGCGUUUCGGGGACCCGGGCAGGCGUGGGGGGCUGCGCUGAGCUCCAGGCCUCCUGCAGGUUUCUCCUUCUCGUCUUCCAAAGCUGUGCCUUAACUUCCUCGAAAGACAACAUCAGUGCUGGCGGGCCUCAAGAAGAGCCAUCCCAAGGUAUUGACUAGGCAUCAGCGUCUUCACCAGGGCAACACAGAACAUCCCUGCAGAGUUCCUGGUGGCUGCAGUGGCUGGUAGGGGAUGUAUGCCUGCUUUCCAUCAGAUUCCCAAAGCGGAGCCCCUGGAGGCUUUGGCCCAUGGCCCUGAAGCUCCCUUUCACAAGGAAGAAAGACUUUGCAAAGCCAACACCACUAUUGGAGAGAAAGUGGAGAAUGUGUAUUAGAAGUACUAGUCUUUGAAGGCAAAACAGCUGUAUAGAGUGAGCUUAAGUGCUGGAUCCCUGUGGUUAGGAAGGGACACUAAGCCUCCGGGAUGUGAGAGUCCCAUGGAAGGCAGUAGGCCCAGGAUAAAGCAGGUGUCAGCUCAGAAAGCCCACCAUCACCCAGAAAAGGGAAGAAAUACGCUACCACCAUCACUCUUUCUGCCAAUGACUUCUUUGCACACCUCCACCCUAUCUCCUGGCUCAGUCUCCCAUGUUCUCAUAGCUAGGGAGGUCUCCAUUGUAAUUUGUAUGGGGAGGUUAACCUAUAGGCCAUUCUGAUGAUCCCAGCUCCCUUUCACUACAACCCCCGUCUGCAUCCUUUGCUUUGCAGUAGGAUUUGAGAGAGGAAGGAUGAAGAUGUAGCCACAGGAUACAUUUAAACAGGCACAGAGUUUGAGGGGUGGGGGGGAACAAAAGCAAAACAAUAAAACCUUCACCAGUCAUUAAAGAAAUGAAAAUGAACCUUUUGAGAUUGUCAAUUUUUAUCUGCUAAGUCAAGAAAAGCUAAUUUAAUUCCUGGCAAUUUCACAAUAAAAAAAAUUGUGCUAGCUCUUGGUGGCAUUGUAAGUAGUUAAAGGCUUUUUGGGAAGUAAUUUGAAAUACAUCAAGUCUUGAAAAUGAUUAUACCAGUGGAUCCAAUCAUCUCGCUGGUGGAAAUUCAUCUGAAGGAAAUGAUUCAGUGGAAAAAACAACCCGUCUACACUUGUUGCACCUAAAUGUCCAGGAAUAAGGGAAUGACAGAAGAAAUCUCAGCACAUUCUCUGAAUGGAACAGAAACCGAGCGUUUGGAACUAGAAUUGCGCAGACUGAAUUGAAUAUGGAAGUGGCUUUAAAUGGCAUGUUAGGUGGAAACACUGGAUGUCUGGUUGAAAUUUGGUAAGACACACAUUCCCAUGGUCAGAAUCGGAAAAUUUCAACAAAUGAAAAUCAUGGGGUUCACAAAGAGGUGUUGUGGGUUAUAGAAAGCUAUUUUCAAAAAUUUCUUUAAUGAUUCAAAAUUGUUUUUCAAAAAAAGUAGAAGAUUUAGAAACAUGUAUUUUAGGAAGUAUGGCCCAUGGUGUCUAUUGGAAAAAAAGUGGAAGACCUGAUGCAUUGCCCAAGGGGAACUUCUAGCUUAAGAUUACACUGAUGAGGACUGGGAAACACUCAGGCACUUUCAGGCACGCUGAGUAACAGGGGUGUCCUUUUACACAGAGACAAGGUGCUCUGUGGUCCACCCUUUACUUGGAUCCCCAGAUCAGCAUUCUCAUCAGGCAGAAGUAACCAGAGGAGGAAACAGCAUUUCUUCAAAGCUGAAGAGAGCUUUUUGGAGGGGAAAAUAAAAAAUCCUAGGAACUCCUUGCAUGACUGAUGGUUUGAACAAUGGCUUUGCACCCCAAGACCAGCCUGGCCUCGUGGUUGUAAAUCUGGGGGCCGUUGACAAACGGUUUCCCACCUUGGGACUUGAGUCUGCAGUUCAAGAGUCACGUGGGCCUGCCUGAGCCGCAGGGCUUGGCCCCUGUGCUGAGCACAGGCUUCUAGAAGAAGGCUUACGGGAAAGGAAAUGCUCGGGUUUCACAUGAAGGAGGGUGUGUGUGGAGGGGGCAGGGCGGGAGCAGGAGGGAAAGAAUGGUCCCUUUCAACGCAGACAGAUGCAGUCUGGCUCAGAGUCAGCCCGGUCUCAAAAAAAACCCAAGUGGUCCAGUAACAUUUAAAAAUCUGCACACAUUCUCAGUUGUAUUUUAAAUACCGCACAAGGACAGACAAUAAAUGUGAUGGCUUUUCCAUCCCCUGCAUGUGGAGUGCCUGCCAUGUCCUGAAGCUCUCAGCAUACUGGCACAGGGAGACACAUGUACAUGCCCACGGUGGGUGUGUGUAAAUGCUACCUACAAACACGAGUGCACACCCACACACACCACUGCAGCACACAUACUUCCAUUCUCGCCUCAGAAAGCUCCAAGCCU